Molecule: long non-coding RNA, 818 nt
Organism: Drosophila teissieri
Lineage: Eukaryota; Metazoa; Arthropoda; Insecta; Diptera; Drosophilidae
Exons: 4
Source: RefSeq, a predicted model, not a curated record
AUAGGAAAACCUGCCAAUGGAGAUUACGCACACUUUUUCUCAAGCCAUUUCCUUUGCCGAUUUCUCGGCAACAUUUGCUUGGCAAAUGAAGCUUACUUAUGGAGGAUCUUGAUUUGCCAGUGCGUAAACAUAACGGUGUGCGAGUGCGCCAGUGGGCGAGUGUGCCAGUGGGCAAGUGAGCGUCACACACACACGUGCGAGACAGGCUUAAUAUAACUUUGAGUGAAAAAAAAGAGCGUAAUUUGUGGCCUACAAUCGCCCGAGAUUUUGGAACUUUGUGGAGUGUAAUAUUUUGAGGCCAACUCGCUUCUGUCGGCCUCCUUCACGAAAUGCAAAUGUAUGGGCUCCAUUAUUAUCUGCCACACCUGAUAAGCAGAUAUAUUUUUGGAUUCCACGUUCGGAGUCCCUUCGAGCUCCUUUCUGUGGGAUACUUAGCGUCUGGGCGCGGCGUUUGUGUCAGUGGAUGGAUGACAAGUGCCCAAAUGUCGCCCAAAUGUCGCCCAAACAAAGGAGCAAUGCGGCACGAGGGCCGUUGUGGCUUUUCUCGGCGUCCACUGAGUGAUAACCAUCAAUCAAGCUGCUGCCGGUUAGACGGUAGGCGUUACACUGGUUUUUCCCGGAGAGAAGCGGAGUGUCCCGAGACCAAGAGACCGAGAGACCGAGCCGGAGUUCAUUUCAAUCAUUAGCGUGCCAAGUCAGCCAGCUCCUGUUGAUGCUGUCAAAUUAAUAAAGAGCCCAGGAUGACCAAGGGUUGGCCAACGGCAUGGAGCAAAAACCGAAAGAGGCAACAGACUACUACCCACCAGUGUAGGCCCACA